AGCAGCCGCGGUAAUUCCAGCUCCAAUAGCGUAUAUUAAAGUUGUUGCAGUUAAAAAGUUCGUUCAUGCCACAAGUAUGUACUGGUCUUACUGAUCCUCCUUCCUGAUGAACUGUAAUGCCAUUAAUUUAGUGUUGCAGGAAGUCUGGACUGUUACCUUGAAAAAAUUAGUGUUUAAAGUAGGUUAACGCUUGAAUACAUUAGCAUGGAAUAAUGAAAUAGGACAUUAGAUUCUAUUUUGAGGAUUAAUGUAAUGGUUAAUAGGGAUAGUUGGGAGCAUUAGUAUUCAAUUAUCAGAGGUGAAAUUCUUGGAUUUAUUGAAAGACUAACUACUGCAAAAACAUUUGCACAAGGAUGUCU
This 359-nucleotide small RNA is filed under the name uncultured Rhizophagus. Its description in RNAcentral is "bacterial SSU rRNA". It matches the Rfam family "Eukaryotic small subunit ribosomal RNA", at positions 569 to 969 of the family's 1831-position model. Lineage: Eukaryota; Fungi; Glomeromycota; Glomeromycetes; Glomerales; Glomeraceae. The record is from RNAcentral.